GUGCGGACUUUCUGUAAAAAGGUUCACAUGUUCGGACUUUUUGGGAUGAACUUGAAAAAAGGAGCCUGAGGAGGAUUCAGUUUCUUCAGACAGUUCAUUGUAUCAUUUUGUCGCUCCUCUGACGUAAGAAUGUAUCUUGAUUUCAACGUGCGCCCUCUUCUCCAUAUAACUCCAUGCUUUUCAAGGCUCAUGUGGAAAUGAAGAUACACCCUUACGUCAGAGGAGCAAGGAUUUGUCUGCGUAUUCCAAGUUCUAAUCUGUUAGUUGUGGUUCAUUCCACUACUAUUUAUGCCGUCCAUUUUCCCAAUCCAAAUUUCUGAACUAUUUACCUUCAAUGCUGAAGGAUUCUCUAACUCGGUGUUGAAGAAGAAGAAACUGUCAGUUCCUGUGUUCAGGAAGCAAACUUUAGGAAAACAUGAGGAAAAGGUAAUAAAAAGAAAAGAGUGUCAGGGAACCCCCACUAGAAAAGGCUAUUCUUGGGAACAGAAGGAAAAAGUGAUUUGGAGUCAAUUUAAAGGCAAUGAUUUUUAUCAUGAUGAGGUACCAAUAGACAUCUUGAUAAUUUAGAAAAUGGUUGAUUUCUUUUUAAUUCCAAUUCUAAAAUUUGAUUAAACUCUUUCAUCAGUAAGUGUCAAGUUUCAUCUUUUUUUAUCCUCUCCAGAAACAUUUUAUAUCAUCAAUUGCUAAUUUGUAUGAUCUCUUUUUUGCGUUUUAGAUCUCUCUCUUAAUCUAUGUCAAAUGGCAGAUACCGCAGAGGAAGCGAGUAAUAAUGUUAGCGAUGCCGCCAGUGAUGACAAAGUUGUGAAAGUCAAUGGUGAAAUGAACGGGUCUUAUUGUGAUGGCGAAGAGCCAAUGGAUGUGGACUCUGAUUCAGCCGCAUUGAAGCACAAACUCAUAAAUUCCAAAUCAUCAAAUAGUGAUGAUGAUAAAGAAGCUGAAGCUAAAGACGAGGUGUCUGAAACCAAAGCUGCUAAUGAACCGGCAUCCAAUGAAGAAGAAAAAGUCUCUUCAAGGACGGAGGAGGACAGCGACUCUCUCUCUAACAGUAAUUCAAAAGUUAAUGGAGAAAUGAAUGGUUCUCAUUGUGAUAAAGUUGAAGCGAUGGAGGUAGAUGCUGCUGUUCCAAAUUCAAAUGUUUCUAGUACAAAGUCAUCGGAUGAAGACGCUGACACAGUGCCUGAAGAAAAAUCUGUAGCUGAAGAUAUUUCGAAAGAAGAUAGUGAUAAUGUAGACUCUUCUGUAGAUCCCAUAUCUAGUGAAAUGCCUGCAGAUGAAAAUUCUAAGGAGGGAAGUGAAGAUGGAGGCAAGGAAAAAGAUGUGGAAGAUAGGGACUCUCCAGAUGUGGAUGGCUCCAAAGAUGAAGCUGAUUCCUGCAAAAAAGAAUCCAAUGAUCUCAACUCGACGGACGUCUCUCGUGAUGGAGAUAACUCUGAAGCCACUCCAGAAAAAGGAAAGAAGUCGAAGAAGGCACCAGCAACCAUCUCACCAAUUACACCUCGACGGAGCUCACGGAACUUAAACAAACAGAAGUCCACUUCAGACAAUGAUAAGGACAUUAGUAAACUAAUCAAAGAGAGUGUGUCCCCCUCUCUGACAAUCAGACCUGUCAAAGCUAAGAAUGAUGAUGAUGAAAUAGAAGAAAUAGUUCCAGUUGAUCCGCUAGCCGGAGAUUCUUCCUCGCCUAGUCCUCAAAAAUUAAAAAAUAAAACAAUAGUAGUCAAUGAUACAAAAGAUUAG
Molecule: long non-coding RNA, 1737 nt
Filed under: Bemisia tabaci
Lineage: Eukaryota; Metazoa; Arthropoda; Insecta; Hemiptera; Aleyrodidae
Description: lncRNA ENSSSA2NGG007004
Source: RNAcentral